Molecule: ribosomal RNA, 272 nt
Filed under: uncultured Staphylococcus sp.
Lineage: Bacteria; Bacillati; Bacillota; Bacilli; Caryophanales; Staphylococcaceae
Description: partial 16S ribosomal RNA
Rfam family: Bacterial small subunit ribosomal RNA
Source: RNAcentral
CGUUAGCGGCGGACGGGUGAGUAACACGUGGGUGACCUACCUAUAAGACUGGGAUAACUCCGGGAAACCGGGGCUAAUACCGGAUAAUACAUGAAACCGCAUGGUUUCAUGAUGAAAGACGGUUUUGCUGUCACUUAUAGAUGGACCCGCGGCGUAUUAGCUAGUUGGUAAGGUAACGGCUUACCAAGGCAACGAUACGUAGCCGACCUGAGAGGGUGAUCGGCCACACUGGAACUGAGACACGGUCCAGACUCCUACGGGAGGCAGCAGCG